This 663-nucleotide ribosomal RNA is filed under the name bacterium HN1-10-44. Its description in RNAcentral is "bacterial SSU rRNA". It matches the Rfam family "Bacterial small subunit ribosomal RNA", at positions 338 to 974 of the family's 1533-position model. The record is from RNAcentral.
CCUACGGGAGGCAGCAGUAGGGAAUCUUCCGCAAUGGACGAAAGUCUGACGGAGCAACGCCGCGUGAGUGAUGAAGGCUUUCGGGUCGUAAAACUCUGUUGUUAGGGAAGAACAAGUGCUAGUUGAAUAAGCUGGCACCUUGACGGUACCGUAACCAUGUAUGAAGCCACUGCGCUAGACUACGAUACGCCAGCAGCCGCGGUAAUACGUAGGUGGCAAGCGUUAUCCGGAAUUAUUGGGCGUAAAGCGCGCGCAGGUGGUUUCUUAAGUCUGAUGUGAAAGCCCACGGCUCAACCGUGGAGGGUCAUUGGAAACUGGGAGACUUGAGUGCAGAAGAGGAAAGUGGAAUUCCAUGUGUAGCGGUGAAAUGCGUAGAGAUAUGGAGGAACACCAGUGGCGAAGGCGACUUUCUGGUCUGUAACUGACACUGAGGCGCGAAAGCGUGGGGAGCAAACAGGAUUAGAUACCCUGGUAGUCCACGCCGUAAACGAUGAGUGCUAAGUGUUAGAGGGUUUCCGCCCUUUAGUGCUGAAGUUAACGCAUUAAGCACUCCGCCUGGGGAGUACGGCCGCAAGGCUGAAACUCAAAGGAAUUGCACGGGGGCAUCCAGCACAAGCGGUGGAAGCCAUGUGGUUUAAUUCGAAGCAACGCGAAGAACCUUAC